GAUGAACGCUGGCUACAGGCUUAACACAUGCAAGUCGAGGGGAAACGACGGGGAAGCUUGCUUCCCCGGGCGUCGACCGGCGCACGGGUGAGUAACGCGUAUCCAACCUGCCUCUGACUGAGGGAUAACCCGUCGAAAGUCGGCCUAAUACCUCAUGGUAUCGUCUGCGGGCAUCCAACGACGAUUAAAGAUUUCAUCGGUCAGGGAUGGGGAUGCGUCUGAUUAGCUUGUUGGCGGGGUAACGGCCCACCAAGGCUACGAUCAGUAGGGGUUCUGAGAGGAAGGUUCCCCACAUUGGAACUGAGACACGGUCCAAACUCCUACGGGAGGCAGCAGUGAGGAAUAUUGGUCAAUGGGCGAGAGCCUGAACCAGCCAAGUAGCGUGCAGGAAGACGGCCCUAUGGGUUGUAAACUGCUUUUAUGCGGGGAUAAAGUGAGGGACGUGUCCCUCAUUGCAGGUACCGCAUGAAUAAGGACCGGCUAAUUCCGUG
Molecule: ribosomal RNA, 491 nt
Filed under: uncultured bacterium
Lineage: Bacteria
Description: partial 16S ribosomal RNA
Rfam family: Bacterial small subunit ribosomal RNA
Source: RNAcentral